CAGUUUGAUAGUUAACUACGUCAUCCUCAUUAUACUGCUGCUAAUAUUAUGGUUGUUAUACCUUGGGAUGUAAGAAGCUCAGAAGAUUACAACCUCUUCAGUCAAGAGAAGCCCAUCAUGCCACCUGGAGGAAGUAACUAGUAACUUCAUGUGACAGAAGAUAGAACUUGUUUUAGAAAGAAAUGCAAGAUAAUCUGAGAAGAACAACUGUCUGUAUCAAAUUAAAAACAGUAUAAUUACUUAACGUAGAGUGUUGGUUCCUCUAAAAGUCAAAGUUAGUAGGUUGGCUUGAGUGCCUCUAUACUCAAAGUAAACACCAGCCAGUAAAACUUCAAAUGUUCUAUUUAUUUUCCUUUGUCUAGUUCAUUUAAGUGGCUUCUAUAUAUAUUUAAGAAGGUAAAUGAAUAUUAUGUAACAAAAGACGUAGUUGCUGCACGUUUUAAAAGAUAUUUGCAUCUAUUUUUCUACGAAUACUUACUUCCUAUGACAUUUUAAAAUCUUUGCUCGACUACUUCUUAGCAUCACAAAUUUUAGCUUAAAUCAAGAUCGAAGUUCACAAACUCUUUAUCUGAGUAGCAAUAUAAUCUGUAAAGUUAAGCCUGAGUUAUGAUCUAAAGAUAAUCAGGAACUGUACGUAAUAUAACAUGUAUAGCUAAAGGAAAAUCCGAGUUAUGAUUUUGAGAUAAUCAUAAACUGUACGUAUACCUUUGAAAUUUUCUUCCAAAGGUUUGAUGGGUUUCUUGCAGAUAGAGAUGAUUUUGAGAUAUUUUUUUCUAAAACAAUGUGGUCACCACAUUUAAAUCGUUGUGUACAUAUAUCUACGUGUGAUUUAAAAUAAAAAAAGGUUUUUGUGUAGUUAUUCUCUCACGUGAUUGUUGUAUUUUAUCUUUAAUGUUUGGUUUGUUGAAAUUAGUCAUAGUUAUUUUGUCAGCAUGAUCAGUUUUCAUAUAUUUACAAAUAUUAAAUUUUUGAGGUUCUUUCAUGCUUAUGUAUUAGACGUCGUUUUGUUAUUGUAACAGCUUUUCUUCCAAACUAAUUACAUCAUUUAUUUCAGUGUAAAUUUCUCAAAAACUUGAAUGAGUUUUUACUCUCUUCAUCAUUAUCUAUCCACUUCACGUAAUCACUGUCGUGUUCCUAUUAAUGUGAAAAACUUUAAAACUAAGAUAGGGAGAGGUUUUAUCACCGUUGUAAGAAAAAUAUAUAAUAAAGUUUUAUUAUGAACUUUAA
This 1227-nucleotide long non-coding RNA is filed under the name Limulus polyphemus (Atlantic horseshoe crab). Its description in RNAcentral is "uncharacterized LOC106468001, transcript variant X2". Lineage: Eukaryota; Metazoa; Arthropoda; Merostomata; Xiphosura; Limulidae. The record is from RNAcentral.